Molecule: long non-coding RNA, 1198 nt
Organism: Cornus florida
Lineage: Eukaryota; Viridiplantae; Streptophyta; Magnoliopsida; Cornales; Cornaceae
Exons: 2
Source: RefSeq, a predicted model, not a curated record
UGUCGGUAAGAAGAUCCUAGUUCGUCGGUUGAGAGAGGACUGUUUUUUUGUUCGGAGGUAGAGGAGAGACUUCAAUGUGAAGUAGAAAAAGAAAAAAAAAGUAAAGGCACCAAAAAGUACCAACACAUGAGGAAGCUGAGCGAAUAAUACUGACACCAGAUUAAUAGUAGGAAAUCUCUCAUCAAUUACCAUAUUUGGAAGGAUUUGAGAUGAAAAGAAUUUAAAUCAGCACUAAAACCCUCUUCAACUCGUAAGCCAGAUCUCUCUCUCUCUCUCUCUAGAAUCUUUUUUCGUGGUCUAAAAGUGAUCCACAUUUUCCGUAUACUCUAAUGGCCGGCAAUGGUGCAAAACAACCCUUGCUGUCGAGAAUGUUAGAUCCUACACUUGAAACCCACUCAAAAUGGUUCUGUUAAGAGGAGAAGAUUUCGGCGCUGAAAUGAAUGGCAAUGGCAAUGGCAAUGGCUCACUUCCACGUUCUCGAUCCUUUUUUAAUAACUUCCACCCUAGUUUUAGGAAAGUAUUCAUAUUAUUUGUUCAUUUCUCCUUUGCAAUGCAAAACCUGAAUCUCAUGACCACUUGUUUUUUAGUUGUUCAUUUGUUUAUGGAACUUCCUUCCGGAGGAACAUUGUGGGUUCUACAUUCAGCCCACCUCUUGGACACAGCUCAGCAUCUUAUCAUUGGAAGGGAAACUCUGAUCACCACAGCAACACAGUUUCAAAAUUGGCACUAGCUUCUCUAGUUUGUAACAUCUGGAUUGAGAGGAAUAGGAGAAUCUUCAAGAAGAAAUUCCUCUCUGCUCCACCUCACUUUGGAAGCAAUUCGAACCAAUGUUAGAAGAGUUGCUACUGAAUGGGAGCUUCCAGAGUCAGUUAUUCGACCACCAAACAAACCUCCAGACCCUAGAAGACGAGCUGCACGUUGCACUGUUGGAAUCACAUUCCAUGAGCGUAGGAUUGCAGUAUCAAAUGCUUGAUCACACACAUCUGUUGUUGGUUAUGUUGGGCUAUUAUGCUCUUUAUUGUACAAUGUGUUUGCCUGGGGCUCUCUGCCUUGGGCUGCUUUUUCAUUUGUGGCAAUGGGUUUGCCUCGGGCCUUUUUUGCCUUUUAGCUGGUUGUUCUUUAGUUAGCAAUGGGCUAACUGUUUGAACUUCAUUGUAAUCUUUCUAUUUAUUUAUUAAAUUAACUUUAACUUUCAAAA